Molecule: non-coding RNA, 697 nt
Filed under: Pan troglodytes (chimpanzee)
Lineage: Eukaryota; Metazoa; Chordata; Mammalia; Primates; Hominidae
Source: RNAcentral
GUAUCUGACUCAGGACCUGAUUUAAGGUUUGGGGUUUUUUGGCCCUUUGUUUCUUCCUCUUGUUUUUUGACCUUUAGUUACUCCACACCUCAUUAGUUCCUUGACCUGCAGGUGGACUGAGAAGAGAGCCAUGGUAGCAGGCAAGAGUGUGGUUAUCGUUGGACCAGGAUUCAGGAUCUGACCGAGUAGCUGACUCUUAAUCCAGUUUGUGUUGAUCACCAGGAGGAUCUGGACCUCAGUGUUAUCACAUCUAAAGCUAUAAUCACAUCCCUGUUAAGCCUUCCUGAGAUCACACCAAAUGUCCUUGAUGGGAAUUGUAAACAACCCUUACUUCUGGUUUCUAAUGAUAUUCCAGGAAAGGAGCCUAACUAGAGUCAGUGAUAUGCCAACUCCACCUUUGCCUUCCACCAUGUUUGGAAGCUCCCUGAGGCCUCACCAGGAGCAGAUGCUCGUCCCAUGCUUCCUAUAAGCCUGCAGAACUGUGAGCCAUAAUAAACUGUGAAUUAUAAAUUGCCUUUAUAGCAAUGCAAAUGGACCAGUACAGAUGGGAUGCUGGGAAGACAGUUGUUCCACCUUCAGUAAAGUCCAUGGAACACAGUUGUGACUAUAUUCUAGGCCAGCCAAGAUGCUUGUACUCAGAAAGGAGUGAUCUCAGGACCAUAAGAAAGUGAAAAAAUAAAAAUAAGAAAACAAAGAA